RNAcentral lists this small RNA (595 nucleotides) under Pan troglodytes (chimpanzee). RNAcentral's name for it is "retained intron". Lineage: Eukaryota; Metazoa; Chordata; Mammalia; Primates; Hominidae. The record is from RNAcentral.
GCUAACAGAGUUGAGAUUUGGGGGUUAGUGGUGGAAGUAAGUUGCAAAUACUGUCUCACUCUUCCCCCAGGCUCCCUACCUGAUUUAUGUGGAAGUCCUUGAAUGUGAAAACUUUGACACCACCAGUGUCCCUGCCCGGAUCCCCGAGAACCGAAUUCGGAGUACGAGGUCCGUAGAAAACUUGCCCGAAUGUGGUAUUACCCAUGAGCAGCGAGCUGGCAGCUUCAGCACUGUGCCCAACUAUGACAACGAUGAUGAGGCCUGGUCGGUGGAUGACAUAGGCGAGCUGCAAGUGGAGCUCCCCGAAGUGCAUACCAACAGCUGUGACAACAUCUCCCAGUUCUCUGUGGACAGCAUCACCAGCCAGGAGAGCAAGGAGCCUGUGUUCAUUGCAGCAGGGGACAUCCGGUAUGGCCAGAUCACAUUGCCCCUCAUUUUUCAUCCCUCUUUCAGGAACUUCCCAUCUCUUUGUUACCUUCCUCUCCAUCUCAAUCAUCUGUUGUUGGCCUGUGUCUUUCCCUCUUUCAUUCUGUCCUUGUUUGGGGCCACCAAACUUGAGGCAAUGAAGGUGUAGGUUGAGAAAUUACUUGGGCUA